Molecule: ribosomal RNA, 430 nt
Filed under: uncultured bacterium
Lineage: Bacteria
Description: partial 16S ribosomal RNA
Rfam family: Bacterial small subunit ribosomal RNA
Source: RNAcentral
AACGAACGCUGGCGGCAGGCCUAACACAUGCAAGUCGAACGCCCCGCAAGGGGAGCGGCCGACGGGUGAGUAACACGUGGGAACCUUCCCUAUAGUACGGAAUAGCCCAGGGAAACUUGGAGUAAUACCGUAUACGCCCGAAAGGGGAAAGAAUUUCGCUAUAGGAUGGGCCCGCGUAGGAUUAGCUAGUUGGUGAGGUAAUGGCUCACCAAGGCGACGAUCCUUAGCUGGUUUGAGAGAACGACCAGCCACACUGGGACUGAGACACGGCCCAGACUCCUACGGGAGGCAGCAGUGGGGAAUAUUGGACAAUGGGCGCAAGCCUGAUCCAGCCAUGCCGCGUGAGUGAUGAAGGCCUUAGGGUUGUAAAGCUCUUUUGGCGGGGACGAUAAUGACGGUACCCGCAGAAUAAGUCCCGGCUAACUUCGUG